RNAcentral lists this ribosomal RNA (450 nucleotides) under uncultured bacterium. Its description in RNAcentral is "partial 16S ribosomal RNA". It matches the Rfam family "Bacterial small subunit ribosomal RNA", at positions 354 to 796 of the family's 1533-position model. The record is from RNAcentral.
GUGGGGAAUAUUGGACAAUGGGCGAAAGCCUGAUCCAGCCAUGCCGCGUGUGUGAAGAAGGUCUUCGGAUUGUAAAGCACUUUAAGUUGGGAGGAAGGGCAGUAAGUUAAUACCUUGCUGUUUUGACGUUACCGACAGAAUAAGCACCGGCUAACUCUGUGCCAGCAGCCGCGGUAAUACAGAGGGUGCAAGCGUUAAUCGGAAUUACUGGGCGUAAAGCGCGCGUAGGUGGUUUUGUAAGUUGGAGGUGAAAUCGCCGGGCGCAACCUGGGAACUGCCUCCAAAACUGCAUGACUAGAGUACGGUAGAGGGUAGUGGAAUUUCCUGUGUAGCGGUGAAAUGCGUAGAUAUAGGAAGGAACACCAGUGGCGAAGGCGACUACCUGGACUGAUACUGACACUGAGGUGCGAAAGCGUGGGGAGCAAACAGGAUUAGAUACCCGAGUAGUCC